GGGGAUUUAGCUCAGCGGCAUAAGCGCCUGCCUUGCAAGCAGGCAGUCCUGAGUUCAAUCCCUG
Transfer RNA from Cavia porcellus (domestic guinea pig), 64 nucleotides. It matches the Rfam family "tRNA". From Rfam's summary of the family: Transfer RNA (tRNA) molecules are approximately 80 nucleotides in length. Their secondary structure includes four short double-helical elements and three loops (D, anti-codon, and T loops). Further hydrogen bonds mediate the characteristic L-shaped molecular structure. tRNAs have two regions of fundamental functional importance: the anti-codon, which is responsible for specific mRNA codon recognition, and the 3' end, to which the tRNAs corresponding amino acid is attached (by aminoacyl-tRNA synthetases). tRNAs cope with the degeneracy of the genetic code in two manners: having more than one tRNA (with a specific anti-codon) for a particular amino acid; and 'wobble' base-pairing, i.e. permitting non-standard base-pairing at the 3rd anti-codon position. Lineage: Eukaryota; Metazoa; Chordata; Mammalia; Rodentia; Caviidae. The record is from Rfam.